CUCAGGAUAUAAGCAGGUUAUAACCAGGUAAUGUCUCAGGUUAUAACCAGGUUAUAACCAGGUAAUGUCUCAGGAUAUAACUAGGUUAUAACCAGGUAAUGUCUCAGGAUAUAACCAGGUUAUGACCAGGUUAUAACCAGGUAAUGUCUCAGGAUAUAACCAGGUUAUAACCAGAUUAUAACCAGGUAAUGUCUCAGGAUAUAACCAGGUAAUGUCUCAGGAUAUAACCAGGUUAUAACCAGGUUAUAACCAGGUAAUGUCUCAGGAUAUAACCAGGUUAUAACCAGGUAAUGUCUCAGGAUAUAACCAGGUUAUACCAGGUAAUGUCACAGGUUAAAAUCAGGUUAUCACUAGGAUAUAACCAGGUAAUGUCCCAGGUUAAAACCAGGUUGUAACCAGGUAAUAACCAAGUUAUAACCAGGUUAUGUCUCAGGUUAUAACCAGGUUAUAACCAGGUAAUGUCUCAGGAUAUAACCUGUUUAUAACCAGGUUAUUACCUGGUAAUGUGUCAGGUUUUCUAUGAUUGACACCUGGUACAGCCUAUGGGCGUUCAGGCAUUCCGAAGCUCUUCCGGGGGAAUACGCUGUUUGACCCGAGCAUCAUCACAGGGACUCUCGGCGACUGCGCGGCCGAAUGUGCACAACGUUACUGCACAGUUCUGGUUUCAAGGAAGCGGAGAAAAACCCAGAAUUACCGAGAGCCGUUUGGCUUCAAAUCCGUAUAAAGGCGGAAGGCGGUAGCCAGGUAAUAACCAGGUUAUAACCAGGUGAUGACCAGGUAAUGUCUCAGGUUAUAACCAGGUUAUAACCAGGUUAACCAGGUAAUGUCUCAGGUUAUAACCAGGUUAUAACCAGGUAAUGUCUCAGGAUAUAAUCAGGUUAUAACCAGGUUAUAACCACGUAAUGUCUCAGGAUAUAACUAGGUUAUAACCAGGUAAUGUCUCAGGUUAUAACCAGGUUAUAACCAGGUAAUGUCUCAGGUUAAAACCAGGAUAUAACUAGGUUAUAACCAGGUAAUGUCUCAGGUUAAAACCAGGUAAUAACCAGGUAAUGUCUCAGGUUAUAACGAGAUUAUAACCAGGUUAUAACCAGGAAAUGUCUCAGGUUAUAACCAGGUAAUAACCAAGUUAUAACCAUGUUAUUACCAGGUGGUGUCUCAGGUUAUAACCAGGAAAUGUCUCAGGUUAAAACCAGGUUAUAGCCAAGUAAUGUCUUAGGUUAUCACCAGGUUAUAACCAGGUAAUGUCUCAGGAUUUAACCAGGUUAUAACAAGGUAAGGUCUCAGGAUAUAACCAGGUUAUAACCAGGUUAUGACCAGGUAAUGUCUCAGGUUAUAACCAGGUUAUGACCAGGUAAUGUCUCAGGUUAUAACCAGGUAAUGUCUCAAGAUGAAACCAGGUUAUAACCAAGUUAUGACCAGGUAAUGUCUCAGGUUAUAACCAGGUUAUAACCAGGUAAUGUCUCAGCUUUUAACCAGGUUAUAACCAGGUAAUGUCUCAAGUUAUAACCAGGUUAUUACCAGGUAGUGUGUCAGGUUAAAACCAGGUAAUAACCAAGUAAUAACCAGGUUGUUACCAGGUAGUUUCUCAGGUUAAUUCCAGGUUAUAACUAGGUUAUACCCAGUUAAUGUCUCAGGUUAAAACCAGGUUAUUACUAGGUUAUAACCAGGUAAUGUCUCAGGUUAAAACCAGGUUAUAACUAGGUUAUAACCAGCUAAUGUCUCAGGAUAUAACCAGGUUAUAAUCAGGUAAUGUCUCGGGAUAUAACCAGGUUAUAACCAAUUAUAACCAGGUUGUUACCAGGUAGUUUCUCAGGUUAAUUCCAGGUUAUAAUUAGGUUAUAAUGUCUCAGGUUAUAACAUGGUUAUAACCAGGUAAUGUCUCAGGUUAAAACCAGGUUAAAACCAGGUUACAACCAGGUAAUGUCUCAGGUUAUAACCAGGUUAUAACUAGGUAAUGUCUCAGGAUAUAACCAGGUUAUAACCAGGUAAUGUCUCAGGGUGUAACUGGUUAUAACCAGGUAAUGUCUCAGGAUUUAACCAGGUUAUAACCAGGUAAUGUCUAAGGAUAUAACCAGGUUCAAACCAGGUUUAAACCAGGUAAUGUCUCAGGAUAGAACUAGGUUAUAACCAAAUAAUGUCGUAAGAUAUAACCAGGUUAUAACCAGGUAAUGUAACAGGUUUAAACCAGGUUAUAACUAGGGUAUAACCAGGUAAUGUCCCAGGUUAAAACCAGGUUAUAAACAGGUUAUUACCAGGUAAUGUCUCAGGUUAUAACCAGGUAAUGUCCUAGGAUAAAACCAGCUUAUAACCAGGUAAUGUCUCAGGAUAUAACCAGGUUAUAACUAGGUUAUGACCAGGUAAUGUCUUAGUUUAUAACCAGGUUAUGACCAGGUGAUGUCUCAGGUUAUAACCAGGUUAUAACCAGGUAAUGUCUCAGGUUAUAACCAGGUAAUUUCUCAAGAUAUAACCAGGUUAUAACCAGGAUAUGACCAGGUAAUGUCUCAGGUUAUAACCAGGUUAUAACCAGGUAUUGUCUAAGUUUAUAACCAGGUUAUAACCAGGUAAUGUCUCAGGUUAUAACCAGGUUAUAACCAGGUAAUAUCUCAGUUUAUAACCAGGUUAAAACCAGGUAAUGUCUCAGGUUAUAACCAGGUUAUAACCAGGUAAUGUCUCAGGAUAUAAUCAGGUUAUAACCAGGUUAAAAACAGGUAUUGUCUCAGGAUAUUACUAGGUUAUAACCAGGUAAUGUCUCAGGUUAAAACCAAGUUAUAACCAGGUAAUGUCUCAGGUUAUAACCAGGUAAUGUCUUAGGAUAUAACCAGGUUAUAACCAGGUUAUGACCAGGCAAUGUCUCAGGUUAUAACCAUGUUAUAACCAGGUUAUGACCAGGCAAUGUCUCAGGUUAUAACCAUGUUAUAACCAGGUAGUGUCUCAGGUUAUAACCAGGUAAUGUCUCAGGUUAUAACCAGGUUAUGACCAGGUAAUGUCUCAGGUUUGUACCAGGUUAUGACCAGGUAAUGUCUCAGGUUAUAACCAGGUAAUAACCAGGUUAUAACCAGGUAAUGUCUCAGGUUAUAACCAGGUUAUAACCAGUUAAUGUCUCAGGUUAAAACCAGGUUAUAACUAGGUUAUAACCAGGUAAUGUCUCAGGUUAAAACCAGGUUAUAAACAGGUAAUGUCUCAGGUUAUAAUAUGGUUAUAACUAGGAAAUGUCUCAGGUUAUAACCAGGUAAUAACCAAGUUAUAACCAGGUUAUUACCAGGUAGUGUCUCAGGUUAAAACCAGGUUAUAACUCGGUUAUAACCAGGUAAUGUCUCAGGAUAUAAGCAGGUUAUAACCAGGUAAUGUCUCAGGUUAUAACCAGGUUAUAACCAGGUAAUGUCUCAGGGUGUAACUGGUUAUAACCAGGUAAUGUCUCAGGAUUUAACCAGGUUAUAACCAGGUAAUGUCUAAGGAUAUAACCAGGUUCAAACCAGGUUUAAACCAGGUAAUGUCUCAGGAUAGAACUAGGUUAUAACCAAAUAAUGUCGUAAGAUAUAACCAGGUUAUAACCAGGUAAUGUAACAGGUUUAAACCAGGUUAUAACUAGGGUAUAACCAGGUAAUGUCCCAGGUUAAAACCAGGUUAUAAACAGGUUAUUACCAGGUAAUGUCUCAGGUUAUAACCAGGUAAUGUCCUAGGAUAAAACCAGCUUAUAACCAGGUAAUGUCUCAGGAUAUAACCAGGUUAUAACUAGGUUAUGACCAGGUAAUGUCUUAGUUUAUAACCAGGUUAUGACCAGGUGAUGUCUCAGGUUAUAACCAGGUUAUAACCAGGUAAUGUCUCAGGUUAUAACCAGGUAAUUUCUCAAGAUAUAACCAGGUUAUAACCAGGAUAUGACCAGGUAAUGUCUCAGGUUAUAACCAGGUUAUAACCAGGUAUUGUCUAAGUUUAUAACCAGGUUAUAACCAGGUAAUGUCUCAGGUUAUAACCAGGUUAUAACCAGGUAAUAUCUCAGUUUAUAACCAGGUUAAAACCAGGUAAUGUCUCAGGUUAUAACCAGGUUAUAACCAGGUAAUGUCUCAGGAUAUAAUCAGGUUAUAACCAGGUUAAAAACAGGUAUUGUCUCAGGAUAUUACUAGGUUAUAACCAGGUAAUGUCUCAGGUUAAAACCAAGUUAUAACCAGGUAAUGUCUCAGGUUAUAACCAGGUAAUGUCUUAGGAUAUAACCAGGUUAUAACCAGGUUAUGACCAGGCAAUGUCUCAGGUUAUAACCAUGUUAUAACCAGGUUAUGACCAGGCAAUGUCUCAGGUUAUAACCAUGUUAUAACCAGGUAGUGUCUCAGGUUAUAACCAGGUAAUGUCUCAGGUUAUAACCAGGUUAUAACCAGGUAAUGUCUCAGGUUUGUACCAGGUUAUGACCAGGUAAUGUCUCAGGUUAUAACCAGGUAAUAACCAGGUUAUAACCAGGUAAUGUCUCAGGUUAUAACCAGGUUAUAACCAGUUAAUGUCUCAGGUUAAAACCAGGUUAUAACUAGGUUAUAACCAGGUAAUGUCUCAGGUUAAAACCAGGUUAUAAACAGGUAAUGUCUCAGGUUAUAAUAUGGUUAUAACUAGGAAAUGUCCCAGGUUAUAACCAGGUAAUAACCAAGUUAUAACCAGGUUAUUACCAGGUAGUGUCUCAGGUUAAAACCAGGUUAUAACUCGGUUAUAACCAGGUAAUGUCUCAGGUUAAAACCAGGUUAUAACUAGGUUAUAACCAGGUAAUGUCUCAGGUUACAACCAGGUUAUAACCAGGUAAUGUCCUGGGAUAUAACCAGGUUAUAACCAUAGACUGUAUAUAAGAUGGACAGAGCCUGCCUCCUUGCUGGGUGAAGCCACUCCGAGAACAGCACCCUCUGAUGGUGGGCUGCAGUACAGGUCAUAAAUCCCGCCUCCGACAGCAAAGCUUAAGGGACUGUGGACAAACUUCAGAAAUUUAUUACACAGAACAUAAUUUUUUCUCCCCCCUGGUUGUGAUGUUGACAUGUAGUUACAGAAAGACUGGUUUGUGCCCAAGUACUUUUUUUUCUGUACAGCUCUGUUUUAAAAGUUAUUAGGGGGUUCAUGUUUUCUAUGAUUGACACCAGGUACAGCCUAUGGGCGUUCAGGCAUUCCGAAGCUCUUCCGGGGGAAUACGCUGUUUGACCCGAGCAUCAUCACAGGGACUCUCGGCGACUGCGCGGCCGAAUGUGCACAACGUUACUGCACAGUUCUGGUUUCAAGGAAGCGGAGAAAAACCCAGAAUUACCGAGAGCCGUUUGGCUUCAAAUCCGUAUAAAGGCGGAAGGCGGUAGCCAGGUAAUAACCAGGUUAUAACCAGGUGAUGACCAGGUAAUGUCUCAGGUUAUAACCAGGUUAUAACCAGGUUAUAACCAGGUAAUGUCUCAGGUUAUAAGCAGGUUAUAACCAGGUAAUGUCUCAGGAUAUAAUCAGGUUAUAACCAGGUUAUAACCACGUAAUGUCUCAGGAUAUAACUAGGUUAUAACCAGGUAAUGUCUCAGGUUAUGACCAGGUUAUAACCAGGUAAUGUCUCAGGUUAAAACCAGGAUAUAACUAGGUUAUAACCAGGUAAUGUCUCAGGUUAAAACCAGGUAAUAACCAGGUAAUGUCUCAGGUUAUAACCAGGUUAUGACCAGGUAAUGUCUCAGGUUAUAACCAGGUUAUAACCAGGUAAUGUCUCAGGUUAUAAGCAGGUUAUAACCAGGUAAUGUCUCAGGUUAUAACCAGGUUAUUACCAGGUAAUAACCAGGUUAUAACCAGGUAAUGUCUCAGGUUAAAACCAGGAUAUAACUAGGUUAUAACCAGGUAAUGUCUCAGGUUAAAACCAGGUAAUAAACAGGUAAUGUCUCAGGUUAUAACGAGGUUAUAACCAGGUUAUAACCAGGAAAUGUCUCAGGUUAUAACCAAGUAAUAACCAAGUUAUAACCAUGUUAUUACCAGGUGGUGUCUCAGGUUAUAACCAGGAAAUGUCUCAGGUUAAAACCAGGUUAUAGCCAAGUAAUGUCUCAGGUUAUCACCAGGUUAUAACCAGGUAAUGUCUCAGGAUUUAACCAGGUUAUAACAAGGUAAGGUCUCAGGAUAUAACCAGGUUAUAACCAGGUUAUGACCAGGUAAUGUCUCAGGUUAUAACCAGGUUAUAACCAGGUAAUGUCUCAGGUUAUAACCAGGUUAUAACCAGGUAAUGUCUCAGGUUAUAACCAGGUUAUGACCAGGUAAUGUCUCAGGUUAUAACCAGGUAAUGUCUCAAGAUAAAACCAGGUUAUAACCAAGUUAUGACCAGGUAAUGUCUCAGGUUAUAACCAGGUUAUAACCAGGUAAUGUCUCAGCUUUAAACCAUGUUAUAACCAGGUAAUGUCUCAAGUUAUAACCAGGUUAUUACCAAGUAUUGUGUCAGGUUAAAACCAGGUAAUAACCAAGUUAUAACCAGGUUGUUACCAGGUAGUUUCUCAGGUUAAUUCCAGGUUAUAACUAGGUUAUACCCAGUUAAUGUCUCAGGUUAAAACCAGGUUAUUACUAGGUUAUAACCAGGUAAUGUCUCGGGUUAAAACCAGGUUAUAACUAGAUUAUAACCAGCUAAUGUCUCAGGAUAUAACCAGGUUAUAAUCAGGUAAUGUCUCGGGAUAUAACCAGGUUAUAACCAAGUUAUAACCAGGUUGUUACCAGGUAGUUUCUCAGGUUAAUUCCAGGUUAUAAUUAGGUUAUAACCAGUUAAUGUCUCAGGUUAAAACCAGGUUAUAACUGGGUUAUAAACAGGUAAUGUCUCAGGUUAAAACCAGGUUAUCACCAGGUUUAUAACCAGGGAAUGUCUCAGGAUAUAACCAGGUUAUAACCAGGUAAUGUCUCAGGAUAUAACCAGGUUAUAACCAGGUUAUGACCAGGUAAUGUCUCAGGUUAAAACCAGGAUAUAACCAGGUAAUGUAUCAGGUUAUCACCAGGUUAUAACCGGGUAAUGUCUCAGGUUAUAAUCGGGUAAUGUCUCAGGAUAUAACCAGGUUAUAACCAGGUUAUGAUCAGGUAAUGUCUCAGGUUAAAACCAGGUUAUUACUAGGAUAUAACCAGGUAAUGUCUCAGGUUACAACCAGGUCAUAACCAGGUUAUAACCAGGUAAUGUCUCAGGUUAUAACCAGGUAAUAACCAAGUUAAAACCAGGUUAUUACCAGGUAGUGUCUCAGGUUAAAACCAGGUUAUAACCAGGUAAUGUCUCAGGAUACAACCAGGUUAUGACCAGAUAAUGUUUCAGGUUAUAAACAGGUUAUGACCAGGUAAUUUCUCAGGAUAUAACCAGGUUAUAACCAGGUAAUGUCUCAGGUUAUAAUCAGGUAAUAACCAGGUUAUAACCAGGUCAAAACCUGGUUAUUACCAGGUACUGUCUAAGGUUAUAACCAGGUUAUAACUAGGUCAUGUCUCAGGAUAUAACCAGGUUAUAACCAGGUUACAACCAGGUAAUGUCUCAGGUUAUAACCAGGUCAUGACUCAGGACCAGGUAAUGUCUCAGGAUAUAACCAGGUUAUAACCAGGUAAUGUCUCAGGUUAUAACAUGGUUAUAACCAGGUAAUGUCUCAGGUUAAAACCAGGUUAAAACCAGGUUACAACCAGGUAAUGUCUCAGGUUAUAACCAGGUUAUAACUAGGUAAUGUCUCAGGAUAUAACCAGGUUAUAACCAGGUAAUGUCUCAGGUGUAACUGGUUAUAACCAGGUAAUGUCUCAGGAUAUAACCAGGUUAUAAGCAAGUAAUGUCUCAGGAUAUAACCAGGUUAUAACCAGGUAAUGUCUAAGGUUAUAACCAGGUUAUAACCAGGUAAUGUCUAAGGAUAUAACCAGGUUCUAACCAGGUUCUAACCAGGUAAUGUCUCAGGAUAGAACUAGGUUAUAACCAAAUAAUGUCGUAAGAUAUAACCAGGUUAUAACCAGGUAAUGUCUUAGGAUAUAACCUGUUUAUAACCAGGUUAUUACCCGGUAAUGUGUCAGGUUAUAACCAGGUUAUAACCAGGUAAUGUCUCAGGUUAUACCCGGGUUAUAACCAGGUAAUGACUCAGGAUAUAACCGGGUAAUAACCAGGUAAUGUCUCAGGAUCUAACCAGGUUAUAACCAGGUUAUAACCAGGUAAUAUCUCAGGAUAUAACCAGGUUUUAACCAGGUUAUAACCAGGUAAUGUCUCAGGAUAUAACCAGGUUAUAAGCAGGUUGUUACCAGGUAAUGUCUCAGGAUAUAACCAGGUAAUGUCUCAGGAUAUAACCAGGUUUUAACCAGGUUAUAACCAGGUAAUGUCUCAGGAUAUAACCAGGUUAUAAGCAGGUUGUUACCAG
This 8327-nucleotide long non-coding RNA is filed under the name Xyrichtys novacula (pearly razorfish). Lineage: Eukaryota; Metazoa; Chordata; Actinopteri; Labriformes; Labridae. The record is from RNAcentral.